This 1329-nucleotide long non-coding RNA is filed under the name Sus scrofa (pig). RNAcentral's name for it is "lncRNA (ENSSSCG00040013724.1)". Lineage: Eukaryota; Metazoa; Chordata; Mammalia; Artiodactyla; Suidae. The record is from RNAcentral.
AAUAGAAAUGAUGUACAUUAAACUACUGUGUAUAUUAAUUAUUUCAAACACUACCAUAUAGCACUUUUAAGUGUUCUGUAAGCAAAAAAUAUAUAUAGUUGUGGUUAUCAUGCAAACCACAAGAACCCUCCAAGGUUGUAUGUAGUUUGGGAUUAUUUUGGUCCUCUUUUUGAAGUUUUCUGCGUAAUGGUUUUCCUUUGGGGAUGUUAUUACUACUGCUAUAAAUCUAGAACUUAACUAUUGAUACUUGUGUUUUGAAAACAGUGUUCACCUUUGGACAUUAUCCAUGUUUGGAGAGUGGCAUACCACUUUACCUGUGCUUAUUGUGAACACAGGAAUUUGCCCCAAAUUUCUAUCUUUUUGUAGAUGGAUUGUAGCACAAUAAUUAAUGAAUUUUCAGUGGUACCUCUCAAUAUUUUGGGAACUUUGCAAACCUAAGUAUCAGAUGUACUUUUUUUUUUAAUUGCUUAUUACCAUGUAACACAGUGUCUUCUCUUUAUGCCAAACUGGUGAACAAACAUAUAGAAUUGUUUCACUGAUGUGGAAUGUUGACUACCGGCAGUUUUAUAAGUACAAGUCAGAAAGAGGCAGGACAGAUGGCCUCUUGUACUGAACGCUUCAAGAACUUAAUUUGUCCUAGUUUUCUGACAAAGACUUGACUCUGGUUUUCAUAGAGCUUGGUUUUUACCUAUCAUAGAGCAGAUUAGAUGGUAGUGAUGCACUGGUAGAGAUGGUUUUUAGUUAUUGACUCAGAAUUCAUCUCAUGAUUGAAUCUUUUAUGUUGUUUUACUGUAUGUAUAUCUACAUUGACUUAAUAAACAUGGGUUUAGUAACUUUGUGUUAAAAUUUGGCCUGGUAACAAUAAUUUCAUUUUUACCUAUCAAGGAGUAGAAAAAUCUCCAUGUAUUGGUAUGUGUAUAUUGACGUUAUUUGGUACUCAUGUGAUAUGUGAAAUAAAAUGGAUUUUUCUACAGCUUAAUGAUUUCCCUCUGGGGAGAGUUCUGGUACAGCAAUCACACUGCCAGAUGGUGUUUAUGGGCUAUUUAUGUAAGUGGUAAGAUACUAUGAAAUAAAGGGUGCUUUCAUCAGAUGGAAACUCUUGAUGCAUGUGUUUUUGUGUGGAAUAAACUUGGGUGCAAUGUGAUGUCACUCCAUGUUGCAUUAAAUUUAAUUUCAAUUAUAUUUAUGUAGACGUAUAUCUGUCAUGCUUCUAGUUGCUUCAACCUUUGUAUCUAUAUAUUUUUUACUUAUUUUAAUAGAAAAUAUUUUAAGUGGAAAUUGAAUAAAAAUUUGAUAGUUUAAUAAAAGUCAUUGCGGUUUUUAAAAAAA